RNAcentral lists this ribosomal RNA (481 nucleotides) under uncultured bacterium. RNAcentral's name for it is "partial 16S ribosomal RNA". It matches the Rfam family "Bacterial small subunit ribosomal RNA", at positions 28 to 507 of the family's 1533-position model. The record is from RNAcentral.
GAUGAACGCUGGCGGCGUGCCUAACACAUGCAAGUCGAACGGAGAUUACGGACGGAAGUUUUCGGAUGGACGCCCGGAAUUCUUAGUGGCGGACGGGUGAGCAACGCGUGGGCAACCUGCCCUAUACAGGGGGAUAGCAGCCGGAAACGGCCGGUAAGACCGCAUAAGUCGGUUAAAUCGCAUGAUUUGAUCGGGAAAUGAGCAAUCAGGUAUAGGAUGGGCCCGCGUCAGUUUAGCCAGUUGGCAGGGUAAAAGCCUACCAAGGCGACGAUCGGUAGCCGGGCUGGGAGGUCGGCCGGCCACAUUGGGAAUGCGACCCGGCCCACUCUCCUACGGGACGCAGCAGUGGGUGAUGUUACGCAAUGGAGGCUACUCUGAUGCCGCGGCGCCGCGUGAGUGAAGAAGUAUUUCGGUAUGUACAGCUCUAUCGGCAGGGAAGAUGAUGACGGUACCUGACUAAGAAGCCCCGGCUAACUACGUG